Molecule: ribosomal RNA, 452 nt
Filed under: uncultured bacterium
Lineage: Bacteria
Description: bacterial SSU rRNA
Rfam family: Bacterial small subunit ribosomal RNA
Source: RNAcentral
AACGAACGCUGGCGGCAUGCCUAACACAUGCAAGUCGAACGAAGGCUUCGGCCUUAGUGGCGCACGGGUGCGUAACGCGUGGGAAUCUGCCCUUGGGUUCGGAAUAACUCAGAGAAAUUUGAGCUAAUACCGGAUGAUGACGUAAGUCCAAAGAUUUAUCGCCCAAGGAUGAGCCCGCGUAAGAUUAGCUAGUUGGUGGGGUAAAGGCCUACCAAGGCGACGAUCUUUAGCUGGUCUGAGAGGAUGAUCAGCCACACUGGGACUGAGACACGGCCUAGACUCCUACGGGAGGCAGCAGUGGGGAAUAUUGGACAAUGGGGGGAACCCUGAUCCAGCCAUGCCGCGUGAGGGAAGAAGGUCCUCUGGAUUGUAAACCUCUUUUGGCAGGAAACAAACCUGCGCUAUACGCGCAGCUGAGGGUACCUGCAGAAUAAGCACCGGCUAACUCCGUG